This 253-nucleotide ribosomal RNA is filed under the name uncultured bacterium. RNAcentral describes it as "partial 16S ribosomal RNA". It matches the Rfam family "Bacterial small subunit ribosomal RNA", at positions 524 to 776 of the family's 1533-position model. The record is from RNAcentral.
AACGUAGGAGGCAAGCGUUAUCCGGAUUUACUGGGCGUAAAGCGUGUGCAGGCGGUUGUCCAAGUCGUGUCUGAAAGCGCUCCGCUUAACGGGGCGAGGCUAGACGAGACUGGGCGACUAGAAUCAGACAGAGGCAAGCGGAAUUCCGGGUGUAGUGGUGAAAUGCGUAGAGAUGUGGAGGAACACCGAUGGCGAAGGCAGCCCCCUGGGCUAACACUGACGCUCAGGCACGAAAGCGUGGGGAGCAAACAGG